GUAUAGUCCUUAAUAGUCGCCAAAACGCGUUUCGCCUGGUACAACAGGCUUCCUCAGUCGGCUAAAUUGUCCACUGUUUCGUCUUCUCGGUUAUUUAAAAAGUCCGCUCAAUUUUACUUCCGGGUUCCGGUUUUCGUUUCGGUGGAACGCAGUUAUGCGUUCCAGUGAUAUCACUUCCUGUUCCGUCACUUCCGGGUUGAUGCCUUGUUCGAUUGGAACGCAUCAUGCGUUCCAAUCGUACCAUUUCCUGUUUCGUCACUUCCGGAUGCCAAUCUCAGC
Pelobates cultripes (western spadefoot toad) is the source of this 279-nucleotide non-coding RNA. The record is from the annotation of a GenBank genome assembly. NCBI's taxonomy places the organism in Eukaryota, Metazoa, Chordata, Amphibia, Anura, Pelobatidae.